Molecule: ribosomal RNA, 622 nt
Filed under: uncultured bacterium
Lineage: Bacteria
Description: bacterial SSU rRNA
Rfam family: Bacterial small subunit ribosomal RNA
Source: RNAcentral
GAGGGGCAGCGGGGAAGUAGCAAUACUUCCGCCGGCGACCGGCGCACGGGUGAGUAACACGUAUGGAACCUGCCCGUAGCAGGGGGAUAAGCGGAAGAAAUUCCGUCUAAUAUCGCGUAAUAACUCCGAGAGGCAUCUCCUGGGGUUUAAAGGGUAACACCGGCUACGGAUGGCCAUGCGGCGCAUUAGCUAGUUGGCGGGGUAACGGCCCACCAAGGCGACGAUGCGUAGGGGUUCUGAGAGGAAGGUCCCCCACACUGGUACUGAGACACGGACCAGACUCCUACGGGAGGCAGCAGUGAGGAAUAUUGGUCAAUGGGCGCGAGCCUGAACCAGCCAAGUCGCGUGAGGGAAGACGGUCCUAUGGAUUGUAAACCUCUUUUGUCGGGGAGCAAAAGACGCCACGUGUGGCGUUCCGAGAGUACCCGAAGAAAAAGCAUCGGCUAACUCCGUGCCAGCAGCCGCGGUAAUACGGAGGAUGCGAGCGUUAUCCGGAUUUAUUGGGUUUAAAGGGUGCGCAGGCGGAAGAUCAAGUCAGCGGUAAAAUUGAGAGGCUCAACCUCUUCGAGCCGUUGAAACUGGUUUUCUUGAGUGAGCGAGAAGUAUGCGGAAUGCGUGGUGU